This 800-nucleotide ribosomal RNA is filed under the name Pseudooceanicola sp. RNAcentral describes it as "bacterial SSU rRNA". It matches the Rfam family "Bacterial small subunit ribosomal RNA", at positions 65 to 912 of the family's 1533-position model. Lineage: Bacteria; Pseudomonadati; Pseudomonadota; Alphaproteobacteria; Rhodobacterales; Paracoccaceae. The record is from RNAcentral.
AGCGAGACCUUCGGGUCUAGCGGCGGACGGGUGAGUAACGCGUGGGAAUGUGCCCUUCUCUACGGAAUAGUCCCGGGAAACUGGGUUUAAUACCGUAUACGCCCUUCGGGGGAAAGAUUUAUCGGAGAAGGAUCAGCCCGCGUCUGAUUAGGUAGUUGGUGGGGUAAUGGCCUACCAAGCCUACGAUCAGUAGCUGGUUUUAGAGGAUGAUCAGCCACACUGGGACUGAGACACGGCCCAGACUCCUACGGGAGGCAGCAGUGGGGAAUCUUAGACAAUGGGCGCAAGCCUGAUCUAGCCAUGCCGCGUGAGUGAUGAAGGCCUUAGGGUCGUAAAACUCUUUCGCCAGGGAUGAUAAUGACAGUACCUGGUAAAGAAGCCCCGGCUAACUCCGUGCCAGCAGCCGCGGUAAUACGGAGGGGGCUAGCGUUGUUCGGAAUUACUGGGCGUAAAGCGCGCGUAGGCGGGCUAUUAAGUCAGAGGUGAAAUCCCACGGCUCAACCGUGGAACUGCCUUUGAUACUGGUAGCCUUGAGUUCGAGAGAGGUGAGUGGAAUUCCGAGUGUAGAGGUGAAAUUCGUAGAUAUUCGGAGGAACACCAGUGGCGAAGGCGGCUCACUGGCUCGAUACUGACGCUGAGGUGCGAAAGUGUGGGGAGCAAACAGGAUUAGAUACCCUGGUAGUCCACACCGUAAACGAUGAAUGCCAGUCGUCGGCAAGCAUGCUUGUCGGUGACACACCUAACGGAUUAAGCAUUCCGCCUGGGGAGUACGGUCGCAAGAUUAAAACUCAAAGGAAUUG